This 161-nucleotide ribosomal RNA is filed under the name uncultured bacterium. RNAcentral's name for it is "partial 16S ribosomal RNA". It matches the Rfam family "Bacterial small subunit ribosomal RNA", at positions 1340 to 1500 of the family's 1533-position model. The record is from RNAcentral.
AAUGGCAGGUCAGCAUACUGCCGUGAAUACGUUCCCGGGCCUUGUACACACCGCCCGUCACACCAUGAGAGUUGGGAAUACCCGAAGCCUGUGAGCUAACCUAAUAGAGGCAGCAGUCGAAGGUAGAAUCAAUGAUUGGGGUGAAGUCGUAACAAGGUACC